RNAcentral lists this ribosomal RNA (278 nucleotides) under uncultured Pseudomonas sp. RNAcentral describes it as "partial 16S ribosomal RNA". It matches the Rfam family "Bacterial small subunit ribosomal RNA", at positions 1107 to 1382 of the family's 1533-position model. The record is from RNAcentral. Lineage: Bacteria; Pseudomonadati; Pseudomonadota; Gammaproteobacteria; Pseudomonadales; Pseudomonadaceae.
GUCCUUAGUUACCAGCACGUUAUGGUGGGCACUCUAAGGAGACCUGCCGGUGACAAACCGGAGGAAGGUGGGGAUGACGUCAAGUCAUCAUGGCCCUUACGGCCUGGGCUACACACGUGCUACAAUGGUCGGUACAAAGGGUUGCCAAGCCGCGAGGUGGAGCUAAUACCCAUAAAACCGAUCGUAGUCCGGAUCGCAGUCUGCAACUCGACUGCGUGAAGUCGGAAUCGCUAGUAAUCGUGAAUCAGAAUGUCACGGUGAAUACGUUCCCGGGCCUU